Molecule: microRNA precursor, 67 nt
Filed under: Drosophila melanogaster (fruit fly)
Lineage: Eukaryota; Metazoa; Arthropoda; Insecta; Diptera; Drosophilidae
Also listed under: 1 other name
Source: RNAcentral
AGUGGGUGGGGGUCCAGUGUUUCACAUUGAUUUUCUUAGUAUUUGUGACUAGAUCCACACUCAUUAA